This 344-nucleotide unclassified non-coding RNA is filed under the name soil metagenome. RNAcentral describes it as "partial contains 5.8S ribosomal RNA, internal transcribed spacer 2, and large subunit ribosomal RNA". The stretch from base 1 to 120 matches the Rfam family "5.8S ribosomal RNA", at positions 35 to 154 of the family's 154-position model. The record is from RNAcentral.
GAUGAAGAACGUAGUGAAAUGCGAUAAGUAAUGUGAAUUGCAGAAUUCAGUGAAUCAUCGAAUCUUUGAACGCACAUUGCGCCCGCCAGCAUUCUGGCGGGCAUGCCUGUUCGAGCGUCAUUUCAACCCUCGAGCCCCCCCCGGGGGCCUCGGUGUUGGGGGACGGCACACCAGCCGCCCCCGAAAUGCAGUGGCGACCCCGCCGCAGCCUCCCCUGCGUAGUAGCACACACCUCGCACCGGAGCGCGGAGGCGGUCACGCCGUAAAACGCCCAACUUUCUUAGAGUUGACCUCGGAUCAGGUAGGAAUACCCGCUGAACUUAAGCAUAUCAAUAAGCGGAGGA